RNAcentral lists this long non-coding RNA (721 nucleotides) under Gossypium barbadense (sea-island cotton). RNAcentral describes it as "long non-coding RNA (GBAR_LNC015094)". Lineage: Eukaryota; Viridiplantae; Streptophyta; Magnoliopsida; Malvales; Malvaceae. The record is from RNAcentral.
UUUGACGACAUCCCAAAGGAGCUCGUAGCUGUUCUUGGGGUUUAUAAACAACAAAUUUUUUUAUUAUGAUAGCUUAAUAUAGUUAGUUUGUGUUUACUCAUCAAAAAAAAAUUCCAAUAGGGGAAAUUCAAUGGGAAUGUUGUAUUUUUGCUCUCAGGAGGGAUGUGCAUCGAUUAUUAGCAACCGAUCGUCAAACCUGAGGAUUAACCAUUGUAAGCAUAUAAGGGUAAAAAAGAAAUCUGCGGGAUAAUUUUGAUUUCCCCAUAAAAUGGUCUCUUCCAAGUAUUGAUAUUUGUGUACAACAUCAACCUUUUGACCGUAGUCUUGCAGUUGCUCAAUACGAAAGGCUGUGUAGGGGUCGCGUCUUGACGGUGGAUAGCAGGCAAUCGAUGUUAGAAACGGGGCGAACCCAGAUAAUGUGUUACCCUCGAAGCUCACAUGGCCCCAUGGUGCUAUUAAUGAUUUGGGGUUGAUUCUGUUAGGAGAAAAGGAGUCUCCUUUUUCUUUUCUUUUUUUGUAUUCUUAUUAUAAGUUGCGACCUCGCAAAUGGUCUUCUCUAUCUAUCAGUGAUCAGGAAGUUCCUGUGAGCUCUAACGUGAUUACAAAUGAUCUUCCCUAUCCAUCGAGGAAUACGUUCUUUCCACUUCCUCAUUACUUCAUUGGGAGAAAAAGGGUAACUUUCCACAUUAAGCUGAUCACGCCAAACAAUAAAGGUCUUCAC